Molecule: transfer RNA, 74 nt
Filed under: Candidatus Daviesbacteria bacterium RIFCSPHIGHO2_01_FULL_41_23
Lineage: Bacteria; Candidatus Daviesiibacteriota
Also listed under: 2 other names
Description: tRNA-Ile
Rfam family: tRNA
About the family: Transfer RNA (tRNA) molecules are approximately 80 nucleotides in length. Their secondary structure includes four short double-helical elements and three loops (D, anti-codon, and T loops).
Source: RNAcentral
AGGCCCGUAGCUCAAUUGGUUAGAGCAUCAAUCUUAUACAUUGAACGUUACUGGUUCGAGUCCAGUCGGGCCUA